RNAcentral lists this ribosomal RNA (429 nucleotides) under Acidobacteriota bacterium. RNAcentral describes it as "Acidobacteria bacterium partial 16S ribosomal RNA". It matches the Rfam family "Bacterial small subunit ribosomal RNA", at positions 355 to 776 of the family's 1533-position model. The record is from RNAcentral. Lineage: Bacteria; Pseudomonadati; Acidobacteriota.
UGGGGAAUUUUGGACAAUGGGGGAAACCCUGAUCCAGCCAUCCCGCGUGUGCGAUGAAGGCCUUCGGGUUGUAAAGCACUUUUGGCAGGAAAGAAACGUCAUGGGUUAAUACCCCGUGAAACUGACGGUACCUGCAGAAUAAGCACCGGCUAACUACGUGCCAGCAGCCGCGGUAAUACGUAGGGUGCAAGCGUUAAUCGGAAUUACUGGGCGUAAAGCGUGCGCAGGCGGUUCGGAAAGAAAGAUGUGAAAUCCCAGAGCUCAACUUUGGAACUGCAUUUUUAACUGCCGGGCUAGAGUGUGUCAGAGGGAGGUGGAAUUCCGCGUGUAGCAGUGAAAUGCGUAGAUAUGCGGAGGAACACCGAUGGCGAAGGCAGCCUCCUGGGAUAACACAGACGCUCAUGCACGAAAGCGUGGAGAGCAAACAGG